This 510-nucleotide unclassified non-coding RNA is filed under the name Hevea brasiliensis (rubber tree). The record is from RNAcentral. Lineage: Eukaryota; Viridiplantae; Streptophyta; Magnoliopsida; Malpighiales; Euphorbiaceae.
GUUGUCCACACAUAGAAAUUGAGAGAAAAGAAGAGUGCUGUGAAAGAUUUUGAGAUUGCUUUUGAUUUCUGGUUUUGGUUUUCUUCUUCUGUUAAUUCCCCCCUCUAUUAAUCCCCGCUUCUCUGAAUCCCUUUCUGUUAAUCAUCUGUCUUUCAGGUUCUAUUUUUUGGGUUUGUUUUUCAGAAAAUUUUAUAAACAAAUGAGUAGAAAGCAAACUUAAGAAGGGUUUCUCGAAGGCCAGGUGAUUUCAGAAUCGAGAUCCAGGCUUUUUCAUUUUAAUUUCCCGAAGUUUUUUUCGUUGUUUUCUUUUUAUUUUUCAUAGCUGAAUCAGCUUGGAGGGUUAUUUUUUGGUCCCUCAAGGUUGGUUAUUAGGCCUUUCAAUCGUUUAGGGGUUGUCUAAUUUUAAACCUCUUUGAUCUUUCUUUCUUUCUAAAAAAAACCUGUUCUUGAACUUGUUCAAGUACGGGUGGGUUGUUUUUUAAAUCUUGAUUUUUAAUAAUCCUAGUUGAA